Molecule: ribosomal RNA, 410 nt
Filed under: uncultured microorganism
Description: bacterial SSU rRNA
Rfam family: Bacterial small subunit ribosomal RNA
Source: RNAcentral
CAGCCGCCGCGGUAAUACGUAGGGUGCGAGCGUUAAUCGGAUUUACUGGGCGUAAAGCGUGCGCAGGCGGCCCGUUAAGACAGGUGUGAAAUCCCUGGGCUCAACCUAGGAAUUGCGCUUGUGACUGGCGGGCUCGAGUACGGUAGAGGGGGGUGGAAUUCCUGGUGUAGCAGUGAAAUGCGUAGAGAUCAGGAGGAACACCGAUGGCGAAGGCAGCCCCCUGGGCCUGUACUGACGCUCAUGCACGAAAGCGUGGGGAGCAAACAGGAUUAGAUACCCGGGUAGUACACGCCCGAAACGAUGGGUACUAGCCGUUUGGUGCGCGAUAGCGCUGAGUGGCGAAGCUAACGCGUGAAGUACCCCGCCUGGGGAGUACGGCCGCAAGGUUGAAACUUAAAGGAAUUGGCGGG